CCGGUUUCGCCCCACUCACUCCUGCGUAAUUAUCUGCUGGACAUUUCUGUUUUGGAUGGGCCGCUGGAAUCUGGUGCGUUGGUUUCGCCCCAGCAUACCAUUGCUGGGUCGCUGGAACUGAGCGUCCAAAUUUCGUCCCCUCCAGAGCCUGCUUGGGCCCUCAGUUUAGUUGCAGCCCAGAAUAAAAAUUUAACUGGCCAGGGCAGUACGUCCCUAAAAGUUUAUACUAGGAGGACAGCUGAUAACAGGAGGCAAAAGUAUGAUUCUCAGGAUUCCCCACUCAUUCAAGCCCUUCAGCCAAAUCAAGCCUCUUCUCCUCAAGAACAGAAUGAUAUUGGAAAUGCAGUCCAAGCUUUUGUUGACAAAGUAACCAGGAAGGUGGAUGGUCUGCUCCCUCCACCACUCCCCCACAGAAGACGAUCCAAGCAACUUCCAUCUGACUUCAUCCCACGCAGAAGCAGUCGCCUGGCAAAGCGAGAUAAUAAAACAAAUGCUGCACACAGACAGAUUCAAGCUGACCUGAUAAGAAGCCUGGAU
RNAcentral lists this unclassified non-coding RNA (537 nucleotides) under Zea mays. RNAcentral describes it as "misc RNA Zm00001eb175680". The record is from RNAcentral. Lineage: Eukaryota; Viridiplantae; Streptophyta; Magnoliopsida; Poales; Poaceae.